CUCUGUUCUUUCAAAUUUAUAUUUCUUAAAAUUUUCGAGAAAUCAAGUUUAUCACAUGUCCUCUAAAGUCAUUAGGCUCGAACAAUUUAGCUUAGCCUAACAAGCAGAUUAACUCAUGAAUCAAGAACUCGACAAGUUUUAAUUUGAGUUUUUAACGAAUAGACUGUCUAUUUUUUUUAGUAAGGACAAACUACAAAAUGCACACCAUGUGUUUGAUAUAUUAACAGUUUAUGUUCCAAAAGUUUUAUUCACGUUCUUAUAACAUGUUUUAAUGCAGGAGACGAGUUGGAGAAGCUUGCUUUAGAAGCCGGCUUUUCUUCUGCUAAACAUUUUGAGGUUGGUGGAGGAAUCAUGGGAGUUCAGUGAGUAUAAAUAGGCAGGU
Molecule: long non-coding RNA, 382 nt
Filed under: Olea europaea subsp. europaea
Lineage: Eukaryota; Viridiplantae; Streptophyta; Magnoliopsida; Lamiales; Oleaceae
Source: RNAcentral